This 1686-nucleotide long non-coding RNA is filed under the name Monodelphis domestica (gray short-tailed opossum). RNAcentral describes it as "lncRNA (ENSMODG00000038261.1)". The record is from RNAcentral. Lineage: Eukaryota; Metazoa; Chordata; Mammalia; Didelphimorphia; Didelphidae.
GCUCAGGCCCAGGUUGGCCUCAAUGGUCUUAGAGUCUAUGAUUUUAUGAAAGUCUUUUGUGAACUUUCUGGCUAUAACAAGAACAACUAAUAUUAUGGUAUUCAUUUCAUGGUGCAAGGGACACGGUACUCAGGGGGUGAGGCCCAAGGUCCAGGACUGGAGCUUUGAGGUUCAUCUGGCUCCAGCAGGUUUCCAUAGUGAUGGAAUGGACCACUGGCUACAGCAGCCCUCCCCCUAUAAGGGGCAAUGGAUUUACCCUGUUGCCUGGAGACCGAACUCAAACAGAGACCCAGAGAGAGCACCCGGGCACUGGCUCUGGAGGGGUUAAGAACGAGUCCCGGAAAGGAUAAUGGAGCCGAGUAACCCCAGCAAAGUGAAGCCUCAGCUCAAGCUGGAGGGAGAUGACAGGAAGAAGAAGGCAGCAUCUGUAGGCCCCCUCCCCAGGCAGGACUUACCUCCCGCCCCAGCACUCAGGCUGCCUCCUGCUGGAUUAAUAUUUCUCAACAUAUAAUUAAAUACUAUUUUUGUGAUUAAUCACUAUGUUUAAAUUAUGUUUGAUUUGUAGCAAUGAGCAUACAUAAUGCAUAUCAGGUAUUUACAUUCCAAAUCAUAACUGUAGCAAAAUUACAGUUUUGAAGUAGCCACCAAAAUAAUUUUUUGGUUUGGGGUCACUGCAACAUGAGGAACUGUAUUGCGGGGUCACGGCAUUAGAAAGGUUGAGAACCACUGCCUUAGGGUCUUCAAUGUCUGACCAAGGUCUAAGCUCUCCACCGAGCCUGUAGUGGGAGCUUCUAUUAUUUCUCUGUUUCCUACAGUUUAGACCCACUGUGUAAGGGGGAUCCCUGACCUCUUUUAUAGAUAGGGAAAAUACAGAAUCAAAGAAUUUCAGAACUCAAACAGACUUCAGUAAUCAUCCUGUCUGAGGGAGAAGAAAGGGGGAAAUACAUUGUGGCUUCAGAGCAUGUGGAUUAAAAUCCUGGUUUUGACAUGAAUGGAAUUUAUGUAGGAAAUGAUAAUGGUCAGUACUGAUGUCUGUUCUUUUAUCCAUUUCCCAUUUUUUCAUAUUAAUAACUUUUUGUUGUUGUUUUCUUCUUUCUAAUAGGGCAGGUUUAUAGGAUCUUAGCAUUUUAAAUUAGACCUGGCUGAGUGUGGUAAUGCAGGUCUAUAGUCCCUGCCACUGGGAAAGCUGAUGCUAGUGGAUCUCUUGAGUGUGUAGAAGAGGCAUGAAGGAAGAGAGAAUUUUCAUGCAUGCAAGAUAAAAAGCUGGGGACCUGAUCUGCCAAUCAAGGUGAAAAUUCCAAAAUAGAAUGUUCCUAGGAAAGGCCAGUUGGAGCCUGGCCAGAGGAGAUGAACUGAGAGAGUUCUUCUCUGGUGUUUCUGACCAAAGAAGGGACUGGUUUUUCUGACCUAGGCAGAGAGAGACCUUUGUGGUUUUAGACAGUCUGGACUUGAAUUACUCAAGCAAAGAUUAUCUGAUUGGUUUAAAGAAGAAAAGAAUAUUAAACAGUUGUCCUCCACCUCUGACUGUCCCUGAGUCACAAUUGUGACAGGACUGACAUUUCCCAAACUCCUCCUAUCCCUCAUUAUAAAUUAGGGAAACCCUCAUCCCUCUCACCUCAUUUUACUUCAGUUCUCCAUCCAGUUGUUCCCAAUAAACCCCCUUACUUGAGAAAAGAAAAGUAAAGA